CGCGCCUUCGACUAACUGGUAAGGUCACAUGCCUUUCACGCAUGUAAUAUGGGUUCGAGUCCCGUAGGCGUGA
Molecule: transfer RNA, 73 nt
Filed under: Caudoviricetes sp.
Lineage: Duplodnaviria; Heunggongvirae; Uroviricota; Caudoviricetes
Description: tRNA-Glu
Rfam family: tRNA
About the family: Transfer RNA (tRNA) molecules are approximately 80 nucleotides in length. Their secondary structure includes four short double-helical elements and three loops (D, anti-codon, and T loops). Further hydrogen bonds mediate the characteristic L-shaped molecular structure. tRNAs have two regions of fundamental functional importance: the anti-codon, which is responsible for specific mRNA codon recognition, and the 3' end, to which the tRNAs corresponding amino acid is attached (by aminoacyl-tRNA synthetases). tRNAs cope with the degeneracy of the genetic code in two manners: having more than one tRNA (with a specific anti-codon) for a particular amino acid; and 'wobble' base-pairing, i.e. permitting non-standard base-pairing at the 3rd anti-codon position.
Source: RNAcentral